This is a non-coding RNA of Odocoileus virginianus texanus, 651 nucleotides long. The record is from RefSeq and is a predicted model, not a curated record. NCBI's taxonomy places the organism in Eukaryota, Metazoa, Chordata, Mammalia, Artiodactyla, Cervidae.
UUCAUUAAGUCCAGAAUGGGUUAGUUUCAAUACACAAUUUCCAGCUGAAUGUUGUUCUAAUAACAAAAUUCAUCAGACAGAGACAUCCUUCAAAGGUAUGUUGUUUCAGCGAUCAGUAGCGUUUCCAAUGAAUCACACACUGACCAGUUGGAAGAGCUUCUGCCUGUUAUUGGAGCAAACUCUGCAGACCUCGUCUGUCAGAUGCAGCACUCAGCCCUCAGCCCCUCACCGGAGCUGAGUUCCUUGGCAAACGAUAGACUGCCCUCUGUUGAUGGAAAAAGCAAUGCUCAGCGCAGGACACAUGGAGAAGCUUUCGGAUAAGUCGCAAAGCUGCGAUUAGUUGAGCUCUGUUGACUGCAGGACUGAAACCACAGAAAGUGAAACCACAGUUAAGGGAGGACUACUAUACUCUGUAAGCUGUAAAGCAGAGGCCAGAGAGGUUGGUGGAUGAAGGAACAGCUUCUGGAAUCAGAUGUCUGGGUUUGGAUACAAACUCUAACACUUCCUCGAAGGAUGAUGGAAUGAGGGGAUGAAGUCACUUGUAGAAGACUGCACUCUUAGUAACAGACAGUGGGUGCCUGCAUGCACUCUUGGUUGCUUCAGUUGUGUCCUAUUCUUUGCGACCGCAUGGACUGUGGCCUGCGAGGCUCC